This 279-nucleotide ribosomal RNA is filed under the name uncultured bacterium. RNAcentral's name for it is "partial 16S ribosomal RNA". It matches the Rfam family "Bacterial small subunit ribosomal RNA", at positions 506 to 784 of the family's 1533-position model. The record is from RNAcentral.
UGCCAGCCGCCGCGGUAAUACGGAGGGUGCAAGCGUUAUCCGGAAUCACUGGGUUUAAAGGGUGCGUAGGCGGUUAGAUUAGUCAGAGGUGAAAGGUUGUCGCUUAACGAUAAAACGGCCUUUGAUACUGUCUAACUAGAAUAUGGUUAAGGUAGGCGGAAUGCGUCAUGUAGCGGUGAAAUGCAUAGAUAUGACGUAGAACACCAAUUGCGAAGGCAGCUUACUGGACCACUAUUGACGCUGAGUCACGAAAGCGUGGGGAGCGAACAGGAUUAGAUA